Amborella trichopoda is the source of this 3099-nucleotide long non-coding RNA. RefSeq lists it as uncharacterized. Lineage: Eukaryota; Viridiplantae; Streptophyta; Magnoliopsida; Amborellales; Amborellaceae. The record is from RefSeq and is a predicted model, not a curated record.
CAGAGAGGGAGAAAAAAGCUGGGAGAAGGAGAGACUCCAAAGACCAGAGAGAAAACUUGUAAGAAACCUUAGAUCUAGGGAAAACCCUAGCCAUUAAACCUGCAAUUUUCAGCUGAGAUCAGAUCCAAGAAAACCAAUGCCAUUCAACCAAGCCAACCCUUGGUCUACAUUGAAGAGAGACAAGGAGGAUCCACGGUGAAAAUUAUAGCCGUAGUCCUGAUACAAGCGAGGCCUCGGGUUUGCCCGGCCAACUGACCCGGCCAAGUAUACUAUACAUGUGUCAUGGACGCCUCAACAUCAACGUAUCCUUCCUCGCCUGUCGACAUUACUAGUUAAAAAAAUGGGCAUGAGUGUGGUGCUCAAGUUAUGGUAGAUGAAGCUUAUCAUGAUUCUCCGUUUGAUGAGGAUAUACUUGCAAUAGAUGGAGAAGACGAUCCUAUACUUAUAGAUGCAGAGGCAGCCCUAACAAGAGGUGUAAGUAUCAAACCCACAGUAGGAAUGACAUUUAUUAGCGAAGAUGGAGCUGAUGAUUAUUAUAAUAAGUAUGCAAAACUGGUGGGGUUUGGUAUAAAAAAGGGAAGAACCAUUUGGAACGUGGUGGAAAAAUUGGUCAGAUUAUAAAUAUUGUAGGCAAGGUUUUCGUAGUCAAAUGUAUAGCGGGAGUGAAAUGCUCGGCCCCAUACAAAAUGUGGAUGUUAGGCAAAGAUCUACAUUAAGAAGAAUGAGAAGUAGAGAUGGCUUAUUGCGAAGUUCGUAAAAGAAUAUAAUCAUAUUCUCAUAACGCCCAACAAGACUAGAUUCAUUUGUUCUCAUCGAAAGAUACCAAACACAAUGAAAAAGGUGAUUGACACAUUGGAGUCUUCUAUUGCUAAGUCUAGGGUUAUGAUGGAUUACUUUAUAGAAGAGGUCAGUGGGGCAGAAAAUGUCCAUUUCAUUGAGAAAGACCUUGAAAAUUGUAUAAUUAGAAAAACAAAACAACUUAAAGGGAAAGAGGGUAUCGUUGUUAUGAGUUGGUUUCAUGCGAAGAAAGAAUUAGACCCUUCAUUCUUUUAUAGAUUUCAACUUAAUGAGGUGGGGAGGCUGAUUAGUGUUAUAUGGGUUGCUUCAAAGUCUAUAUUAUCAUACCAAUUUUUUAGUGACGUGGUAACCUUUGACACCACGUACCAAACGAAUGAAUUCAGUUUGCCCUUUGGCCCAAUCCUUGGAGUUAAUCAUCACACUAACACAAUUUUCCUCGAAUGUGCUCUUAUUUUCAAUGAAACUACAGAAACCUUCAUUUGGUUAUUUGAGUAUUGGCUAGAGGCAAUGGGAGACCGCCGACCAGGUACAAUUAUCACUAAUCAGGAUUUAGCUAUAAUGGCUACAGUUAAGACAGUUUUCCCGAAUACUAAUCAUUACUAUUACAAGUGACAUAUCAUGGGAAAGUUUAAAACACAUCUAAGCCAUGUUGAGCGUGCAUACCCAUUAUUCUUAGAGGUAUUAAAAAAGUGUAUUGUAGCCCACAUAGUUGACCAACAUGAGGCUGAUUGUUUAGCUAUGAUUUAGAAAUAUGAUCUUCAAGACGAAAGUUGGCUAAAGUGGUUAUAUGGUUGUCGCACUCAAUGAGUUGAUGCAUACAUAGUUUGGUAGGUUCACGGCUGGCAUGAAAACCACACAACAAAGUGAAGAGUUCAAUCGUCAUUUAAAGAUAUAUGUCACUUCUAGAAUAGGUUUGACAAAAUUCAUGAAUGCUAUUGAAAAGUUACAAAACAAGAAGUUCAUCAAAGAAAAAAAGAAAGACAUUAAAGAUAUUAUAUCCACACUUGUUUUAAAGACUGUAUUUCAUAUCGAGGAGCAUAAAACAAAGAUAUACACUCAUAAAGUUUUUGAAAAGUUGCAAGAAGAGAUGGUAAUGUCCUCAAAUUGCCUUAGCAAAUUAAUAGAAGGCAAUGAUGAAUUUGUCAAUUAUAAGGUGGAAGACAUUCAUGGUGUUUUUAUCCCUCAAAUGGUUACAUUUAUUGAAUUAGGGAUAAAGUGUAUAUGCACAUGUCAGGUUUUUGAGCGUGUUGGAAUCCCUUGUUCACUUAAAGUGUUCAACAUGAGAAAUGUAUUGAAGAUCCCAGAGGCAAAAAAGGUGGUCAAAGACAAAUGUUGUGGUUGUAGUUUGACUUAUCUAAAUUUCUGAGGUUCAUUCGACAUCAUGAGCUUUAUGACUUUGUGAGAAUAAUUGUAGAACCAGAAUUAGAAAGUGAUGAUCUAUUUGAUAAAGUGAAGUUUUAUGCAAGUUAGCUGAGGAUGUCAAUGAAUCAAGAGAGCAUUAUUGAAUAUUCUUGCACCGUCACCCUCCACUCAUUGCAGUGUUCCUGAAGAUGAAGUAUGCGGCAACAUUAGAUCAGUUGAUGCUUCCCCUUUUGUAUUUGAUCCACCAUGUACACGAGUAGUUGGACGACCAAGGACUAAAAGCAGAAAACCUUCAUGGGAGAAAGGGCAAAAGGCUUCUACAAAAAAAACACAGUCGGAGGAAAGGCCACUCACUAGAAGAAAGUGUAUAGUUUGCAAUAAGAGUGGCAUCACAAGCGUAAUUUUCCGGUGACGGCGCAUGGGAUGUAAGUGCUUGUUUGCUUAUGUUUCAGACAUACUAAACAUAACUGUCUUUAUUUCGUUUUAGUUUUCAUUUAUCUUUUGCUUUAUGCAUUGGAUUGACAAUACACCUUUCUCUUACAAAACCACUGAGGACCAUGAAUCGAGUUGAGGCCAUAACAAACGAAAGGGCUGCAAUUACUCUGAGGAUAUGACAAAUUACGAGACUGCAUUCGCAUGGAUGAUAUGGCAACUUGUAGGGCUUCAUUUGCACAAAUGCAUAAUGGAAUUUUUGUAUUGACUAAUUUUUGGAAAUUUGGAGAUAUGUAAAUAACCUUUUUAUAAUUGACUUUCAGGGUUAUAUGAAUAUUGAAUAAUCAUAUAUUUUUUGGGCUAUGUACAUGACCUAUUUAUGGGGCAUGUAAAUGACCUAUUUAUAGGGCCUUCUAAAGGACUUAAUUAUGGGGGCAUAUAAAGGAUCUAUUUUGGGGUCAUGUAAAGGAUCUAUUUUUUGAAUCAUGUAAAAGACUGAUUUAUGGA